GUCGAUUCUUCAUUUGUUUUCAUAGAUAUAAUUGUGAUAUAUAUAUAUAUUAUAUAUACACAUAUAUAAAAUUAUAAAUGUAUAAGUAUUGUGUUUGAUUUCACACCCAUAUUUCAUUGUAUACUUAUUAGAAAAUGCAUGUGAUGUUGUAUCGUGUGUUUCUCAUAUAGUUAACCUUAUUACCUUUAUGAGCUCAUCCAUUAUUUGAUGUGGUUCUUAUCACCAAGUUUGAAGCUAUGCCAAGCAAUACCCAGUGUAUUAGGGUUGUUUAUUGACUCAACCAUUUAUUUUAACUUACUAACGGUGACAAUGAUUAAAAAAAAAGAAACAGUUUUAUCUUCGUGUGACCAAUUACAAAUUGUAAGCAAUCCACAUAUCAAAUUUGCCAAUGUCAAUUUAUGGUAGAAUACUAUAAAGUAUAUGAUAAUUAAUAUGCAAAUAUUUGGAGUUGUCCAAAAGAUAUAGAUUUUUUAAGGACCAACCAUUGUAUCUAUGCUUCUGUCUUGAUAGAAAAUAUAGUAUGUAUUAUUGUCAAGUAUAUACAGUACGUCAUAUGGCUUCCAUCUCCCAUUGUCAAAAAAAAAAUUCAAAUGUUAAUAUUUAUAUAACUGAAAAUUGAAGACUAGUAUAAUGUAUUUAUGAUGAUUAUCUUGUUAUACUUUAUUAUAAAAAAAGAAAAAAAAACAGUCUUCAAAUAGAAACGAUGGUGUAUGUUACCAUUUCCAAUUGGGAAAAAUAUUCUAAAUUGUCUUUUUUAUGUUGUUUGUUAGUUAAAAAGAAAAUGAGAAUGAUAAUCUCAAAAGUAUUCAUAUAUAUGCCAUCAACUACUGCUCACAGAUGGAGAUGUGUUAUAAAGGACUUUAUACUCUUACUUUUAAUCACAAAAUGAUAUAUAAAAUAUAUUUUAGAAUAUUUUGAUUCUUCCACAUUUUUAUAAAAUCUUGUUUAUUGCUUUGAUGUCUAUAAGAAAAUUUCUUCAUAAUAAUUUUGACCAGAAAAUACAUUGGAUAUUGAGAAUUAGAGCUGGGUAUGAAUGUUUGUGAUGUAUAUGCUGUGUGUUCACUGCCCACAGCAUUUGUGGGACUGUGAUAAGAACAAUCAACAGUUGUUAGAUUUUUUGAUCCACGAGCUUAUUCUUGGAUGUAUAAAACAAAGGCAAUGGUUUUAUUCCCAUUGUAUAUCGGGUCUUGGGCAAUGCUCAAAUGCGAGAUAUUUGAACAAUCAAUUGUGCACAUUACUAGAAUUUUAAAGUAAUUAAAAAAAGUAGAAACAUUUGCACUUAGCAUAUCAUAUUCUUUCAGUUUAUCACAUAUCAUGUUUACUGUGCAUUUUAUAUAUAUUGCCACUUUGCAGCUCAUUUGUGAAGUCAAAUUAUAUGAUGCAGUUACCGAGUGCCAAGUUUCUCUGCCUUUUUAAUAUAUCUCAAUAUUUUGCACACUAGUCAACAACUGGUAGAUUUACUUGCAAAUUGAAAUUUCUUAAAUUAAUGUUUUUAAAGAAAAAACUAAUAAUUUUGAGUGUGCAUGCCUGUGUGAAUUUUUUCAUAGUUUUAUGUAAACAGUUCCAGUUUUCACAGCAUUCUCAAAUCUUUAGCAAUAGUGAUAUAUCUCUACAUAUCCCUCUUUUUCAGUAUAUCUUGUGUUAAGAAAAUUUUUUAAAAAUUGUCGUUUAUCCUUAUUAUUGGCCAUUUUUACAAUCACAAAGCACUAAAUGCAAUAAGUCAUUAUACACUUAACUAAUGUACAAUCUACUUGUAGAUGUUUAAAGUAAACAGUACUAAGCAUGUUUUUAAGAAUGUGCAAAUAUUGCUGUAUUCUGAUGCUAAUGGUUGAUAAUAAAAUUGUUGUGACAUUUUACACCUGGUGAGAUUUUAUUCCACAAAUAUAACACAUCCUCUAAUGUACGUCAAUUAUUUAGAAUAUUGGAAAUUCAAAACUUUUCCCGAGUUGUCGCGUUACGUUAGUGAAAUAAGCCGAUAAAUGUUAAUAUUCUCCAUAGCUAAUAUAAAAUUCUGUGAGAAACGCUAUAUCAUCCCGAUCAAUGAAAUUAUUAACUUUGGUUCUCGGGGUGAUACAGCGUAACUGAAUCCGAGCCUCUAACUGUUUCUUGGAUUAUCCUAAUCGUAACUCUAAUACAGUACUGUUGUUUAAAUUUUUUAGCAGUCAUUUUUCAAUAUUCUAAAUGCAACUACAGAGAGUUCCGAAGGUUCCAAUCUUCGGAAUUUGAAAAAAAAUUUUUGAGCAUGGGCGUGGUAAAUCAAAAUCCUAUUUAAAAGUUCCAAGUUAGCCACUUUUAAAUUAUAGCUGUAAGUCUAACGCUGGUUGACUCGAACCGGUGUGGUGAUAGAAAUAACAAAAAAUCGCAAUUAAAUUGUGACUGACAGCGUAAGUGAAGCGAGAGAUGAUCAUCGGGUCACCACCGCAAUUCAUUGAAAGUCACAUAAUUAUCUGAAAUUAUCCGGUUUCGAUGGAAACCACAAUUCCUCUCUCUGUCAUAACCCAAUGUUAAAAUAACGAAAAUAUAUAGUAAAAUAAGCGCGAUGGCUAUUUUAAGUAUUACGUUGCGAUUAAUUGUAGAUAAUUUUCGAGAAAUAUAAAGCGAACCGGUUGUUGAUUAUUUUGAAUGACAGCACUAACGAAUAUAUAAAAAAGAAUAGAUUUUUCUCGAAAUUUCUGAAUUUAUUUUUAGAAUGGUUUAAAUCCAGGAUGGGCAACCUCCGCUUUGGCGUAUUUUUAUUUCUUUUCUUAAUAAUAAUUAAUUUUCGUUAUUAAUAUGUUAAAAAUUGGCCAAACAAAUCGGAUACUCGCCUUGUUAGACGCGCGUUUAGUACGGAUAUUCAACCAAAAUAUCGGAAACAAAAAAAAAAUCAUCAAAUAUUACAUUAAAAUUCGAUUUUCUUACUUUUAAUACAAAUAAUUAUGUAUCUUUAAUUUUGCGAUUACGAUUAAAAGUUUAAAUAAAUAAAACUGUGCGGUGAAUUGAAAAUUUCAUUGGCCAUACAGGUGGCAACUUUUUACAGAAAUAUGUCGCCCACUUCUAGUUUGAAUGAUGGAGGUAAAUCUUAUUAAUAGUGUUUAUUUCUGUUAAAUAAGAUUUUCACAGGAUAUAAAUAGUUAUAGUUUUAUAUAAUUCAAAAUUAGCGAUUAAUUUUCUCAAUUGCUAAAAUAAUAUAAAAAGAAAGAAAAACUCAUUUUUUUUUUAUAUACG
This 3207-nucleotide long non-coding RNA is filed under the name Androctonus crassicauda. The record is from RNAcentral. Lineage: Eukaryota; Metazoa; Arthropoda; Arachnida; Scorpiones; Buthidae.